CAUAUAUUUGUCCAUUUAUGUGCAUUAGAGUCUAAAGUGCACACUUGAGAAGUUUGGGACGAAUGCGUGAAUAAUCAAGACUUCGAGGACCUGUUUUGCAAAUAAGCAAGAAUUCACCAUUAGAGCUCACGAGCUUUCUCCUCCAAGCCGAUCCGGAGCUUGACGACACGGCGAGCUUCGACCCGACGACAGCUAAGGCUGGGCUGACGAUGACGUGUGGUUUUAGGCCGUCACGGAGGAGAGCUCGACGAGGAAGACAGAGACGAGACUGAAGAGUCACGCCAAUGGAGGUUUCGGGGAAGAAGGCCAUGACCGGAUUGGAAGCUACGACGGCGAAGCUUGAGGCCACAGUGAAGACCGAGCACAACGGAGGACCAGAACACGGACGGAGACUUGGAAGGUGGUUCACGGUGGCUUGGAGAUUGAUUGUGGUGGAUUGCGGCGAAGAGGAAGACCACG
This 459-nucleotide long non-coding RNA is filed under the name Brassica napus (rape). RNAcentral describes it as "long non-coding RNA (BNAP_LNC026079)". Lineage: Eukaryota; Viridiplantae; Streptophyta; Magnoliopsida; Brassicales; Brassicaceae. The record is from RNAcentral.